UACAGAGGUGGCAAGCGUUGUUCGGAAUUACUGGGCGUAAAGGGCGCGUAGGCGGCCCGUCAAGUCCCGUGUGAAAGCCCCCGGCUCAACCGGGGAACGGCGCGGGAAACUAGCAGGCUUGAGUUCGGGAGAGGGAAGCGGAAUUCCGGGUGUAGCGGUGAAAUGCGCAGAUAUCCGGAGGAACACCGGUGGCGAAGGCGGCUUCCUGGACCGACACUGACGCUGAGGCGCGAAAGCUAGGGGAGCGAACGGG
This 253-nucleotide ribosomal RNA is filed under the name uncultured bacterium. RNAcentral describes it as "partial 16S ribosomal RNA". It matches the Rfam family "Bacterial small subunit ribosomal RNA", at positions 524 to 776 of the family's 1533-position model. The record is from RNAcentral.